This 688-nucleotide ribosomal RNA is filed under the name uncultured Bacteroidales bacterium. RNAcentral describes it as "bacterial SSU rRNA". It matches the Rfam family "Bacterial small subunit ribosomal RNA", at positions 64 to 745 of the family's 1533-position model. The record is from RNAcentral. Lineage: Bacteria; Pseudomonadati; Bacteroidota; Bacteroidia; Bacteroidales.
GAGGGGCAUCACGAGGUAGCAAUACUUUGGUGGCGACCGGCGCACGGGUGCGUAACGCGUAUGUAACCUACCUAUAACAGGGGCAUAACACUGAGAAAUUGGUACUAAUUCCCCAUAAUAUUCGGAGAGGCAUCUCUCCGGGUUGAAAACUCCGGUGGUUAUAGAUGGACAUGCGUUGUAUUAGCUAGUUGGUGAGGUAACGGCUCACCAAGGCAACGAUACAUAGGGGGACUGAGAGGUUAACCCCCCACACUGGUACUGAGACACGGACCAGACUCCUACGGGAGGCAGCAGUGAGGAAUAUUGGUCAAUGGACGCAAGUCUGAACCAGCCAUGCCGCGUGCAGGAAGACGGCUCUAUGAGUUGUAAACUGCUUUUGUACGAGGGUAAACUCACCUACGUGUAGGUGACUGAAAGUAUCGUACGAAUAAGGAUCGGCUAACUCCGUGCCAGCAGCCGCGGUAAUACGGAGGAUUCAAGCGUUAUCCGGAUUUAUUGGGUUUAAAGGGUGCGUAGGCGGUUUGAUAAGUUAGAGGUGAAAUCCCGGGGGCUUAACUCCGGAACUGCCUCUAAUACUGUUAGACUAGAGAGUAGUUGCGGUAGGCGGAAUGUAUGGUGUAGCGGUGAAAUGCUUAGAGAUCAUACAGAACACCGAUUGCGAAGGCAGCUUACCAAACUAUAUCUGACG